UACGUAGGGCGCAAGCGUUGUCCGGAAUCAUUGGGCGUAAAGAGCUCGUAGGUGGUCUGUUACGUCUGCUGUGAAAUCCUAGGGCUUAACCCUGGGCCUGCAGUGGAUACGGGCAGACUAGAGGUAGGUAGGGGAGAAUGGAAUUCCCGGUGUAGCGGUGAAAUGCGCAGAUAUCAGGAGGAACACCGAUGGCGAAGGCAGGUCUCUGGGCCACUACUGACGCUGAGGAGCGAAAGCGUGGGGAGCGAACAGG
This 253-nucleotide ribosomal RNA is filed under the name uncultured bacterium. Its description in RNAcentral is "partial 16S ribosomal RNA". It matches the Rfam family "Bacterial small subunit ribosomal RNA", at positions 524 to 776 of the family's 1533-position model. The record is from RNAcentral.